RNAcentral lists this long non-coding RNA (1925 nucleotides) under Marmota monax (woodchuck). Lineage: Eukaryota; Metazoa; Chordata; Mammalia; Rodentia; Sciuridae. The record is from RNAcentral.
AGUUUUUUGACUUUGUUGUAAUAUUCAGAACUUUGGUCUUCAGAGUAGAAAAUAUCUAAUAAUCUUCAGUUCAUAGGAAUGUUACAUAAAAGGGAUUUAAUUAGAUUUAGUGUUUUUAGAAUUUAUAGUGUUGUGAUUUUGGAGUCAUUAUGUGUGUGUGUGUUUUGUGUGUAUUUGGAUCUAUAUCAUUUGAGGCAUCAAUUUUAUAGUCUAACAAUGAUUUUAUUGUUGUUUUUGUUUUUUGUUCUUGAUAGUGAAAGGAGCUAGGCUAAGAUUGAGUGUAGCAAAACCAAAGGCUGAUACUAAGAUACUUAAUGUGAAAGGCCUCCUUUUGAUUUUAAAUUUUUGUGCUUCUCUCAAACCCAGGCCUUUAUUCAGAAUCUGGAAGAAAAUGAAGAAGAAUCUUAAGCUAUAUAAUUUUUAAGAAUACCAUCAAAAUCAUAUUCUAAAUCUUGCUUUAAAAUAGAGCAAAACAUUACUUAAAUUUUUUUCAUUGUUUGUGCGUGUACAUCUGUCUCUCUCUUUUAUGUGUAUAGCAGACUUUACCUAAGUGUUAGAGUAAUGAUGAAUUGUAGAUCACUUUAGGAAACAGCUAGCCAGGCAGGGUGGUGCACACCUUUAAUCCCAACCACUCAGGAGGCUGAGGCAAGAGGAUUAAAAGUUUAAGGCCAGCCUGUGCAUUUUAGCAAGAUCAUGUCUCAAAAUAAAAGUAAACUGGAGAUAUCGCUCAAUGGAAAGUACCCCUGGGUUCAAUCCUCAGUACUGAGGGUUGGGGAGGGGGGAAUCUUAAAAUUUAGUUUUAGACAUCCCAGUUCACAAAAAGUCUUUGCCUAUUCACAUUGCCAGAUAAUUUUUUUAUUCAUUAUUUAUUGUUUUUAGUUUGGUAAAAUAUAUGCAACAAAAAUUUUAUAGUUUCAACCAUUUUUAAGUGUACAUUUCAGUAGCAUUAAAUGCAUUCAUAAUGUUACACAACCAUCACUGCUGUGUAUGUUCAGAACCUUUUCAUCAUCUCAAGCAGAAACUGUACCAACUAAACAACUUUUGCCAGGGAGGUUUUUACUGACUGAUCACUCCCACUAAGUGUCCAGAAUCUGGCAUUGUGUAUACAUUUCUUGACAGUUCAUGUCAUGCUGUGUAUACCUUAGCACAGGGCAUCAACAGUGUAACACAUUAAGCUUCCCAGAAAAUUCAGAGUGGGAAACACAUUUGUUUUCCUCUCCUGGAAUAUAUGCAGAUGUUAACAACAUUUUUUAGUGGAUUUGAAGUCUUUUUAAUAAGAAGGAGCAUAUUUAGUAGAGAAUUUGAAGGUUGGUAAUAGCCACCCCCCCUCCAAUUCUGACCCUGUCAUAUGAUAGAAGGAUGGUUUAAAUUAUUGUAAUUCCAUGAUCUGUUAGGUUCUUUUUGAGUGAUAUUUCCAUAUUAUUGUCAGCAUGGUUAAAAGGUGUAAUUAUUUAGGUUUAAGGGAAGUAUAAGUGGCUGCCAAAUUUGGCAAUAUUGAAGAAACAGCUACAUUUGUCUUUUCUAUUGUAGCUCAUGUGGAAAGGACAAUUUCAGGUACUGUGUAUGCUAACUUCUUCCUGGACAUCAGAAGGAAUCCAACUAAAACAAAUUUUAAAACUAUUUCAGAUGUGCAAGUCUCUUGAAGCCAAUAUUUUAUUUUAGAGGUUUGUGUUAUGUUUGACAAGCAACUCUGUACCGCAAUUCUAUGACUUUCAAUUAAAAAAGUGAAAAAGAAACUGCUGUGAUGUCGUUUUUCUGCUUAAUUAUGUUACAUUCAUUUGUAAAAUUAGGCAGAUUAAUAAGUGAGUAUAAAUGUGCAGUGCUUUUUGCAAAAAAUAUUUUAAAUAAGAUUAAUGGUUCCAUUUUUUGACAAAAUAUUUUAUGCUAUGCUAGAUCAACAAAUGCUGUAAUGAGCAGAUAUCAAC